UACGUAGGUGACAAGCGUUGUCCGGAUUUACUGGGCGUAAAGAGCGCGCAGGCGGUCGUUCAAGUCGAGUGUGAAAGCCCCCGGCUCAACUGGGGAGGGUCACUCGAUACUGAUCGACUCGAAGGCAGAAGAGGGAAGCGGAAUUCCCGGUGUAGUGGUGAAAUGCGUAGAUAUCGGGAGGAACACCAGUGGCGAAGGCGGCUUUCUGGUCUGCUCUUGACGCUGAGGCGCGAAAGCUAGGGUAGCAAACGGG
RNAcentral lists this ribosomal RNA (253 nucleotides) under uncultured bacterium. RNAcentral's name for it is "partial 16S ribosomal RNA". It matches the Rfam family "Bacterial small subunit ribosomal RNA", at positions 524 to 776 of the family's 1533-position model. The record is from RNAcentral.